This 76-nucleotide transfer RNA is filed under the name Dehalococcoidia bacterium. Its description in RNAcentral is "tRNA-His". It matches the Rfam family "tRNA". From Rfam's summary of the family: Transfer RNA (tRNA) molecules are approximately 80 nucleotides in length. Their secondary structure includes four short double-helical elements and three loops (D, anti-codon, and T loops). Lineage: Bacteria; Bacillati; Chloroflexota; Dehalococcoidia. The record is from RNAcentral.
GUGGACGUGGCCAAGCGGUAAAGGCGCCAGGCUGUGGCCCUGGAGAUCGCGGGUUCGAAUCCCGCCGUCCACCCCA